UGAAUUUGACAACGUAUUUUCAAAGUACAUCGGAAUAAAUUAGAAAAACACUUUAUGAAAAGGAAGUAAAAGAAGGAAAAUGAAAAAAAAACAGAGUUUGCCGAGUGCCCCCGAUAUGGCACUCGACAAAGCUGGCUUUGCUGACUGUCCGAUCUGAGACACUCGGCAAAGAUGCUUCAUAUUCGGUAAAAACGCUCCCUCACUCGCACACACGCACGCACCCAAACUCACAUGCACACACACCCCGCCGCCGGCCUCUCGCGCCCCAUCGCCGGCCUCCUGCGCCCACGCCCCGCCGCCGAACCUCUUUCUUUGUGAAGGGUGCUGUGAGCAAAUUAUUUUCUAUAUGGGUGACCUAAGAGAUGUCUUCCUUGACUCAGCUAAAGUGAAAGAAUUCUCGUCAGGUGCACCAAACAGGUCUUUGUAGAACUUGGUAAUGUAAGCUUUCAGAUUAACUUGGCCCUCAAUCAUGCCGUUCUCUUGUUCCAGGGAAAAUAUCCUUUUUUCCGAUGUCUGCCCUUGGCAACCAUUUGGAAAUAUCUAGUAUUGCUAUCCCCGAGCAGAGUAUCUGUCACCUUAGCACGUUGGUAAUAUUUGAUUUCC
Molecule: long non-coding RNA, 603 nt
Filed under: Setaria viridis
Lineage: Eukaryota; Viridiplantae; Streptophyta; Magnoliopsida; Poales; Poaceae
Description: long non-coding RNA (SVIR_LNC010447)
Source: RNAcentral